RNAcentral lists this ribosomal RNA (468 nucleotides) under uncultured bacterium. RNAcentral describes it as "partial 16S ribosomal RNA". It matches the Rfam family "Bacterial small subunit ribosomal RNA", at positions 28 to 507 of the family's 1533-position model. The record is from RNAcentral.
GACGAACGCUGGCGGCGUGCUUAACACAUGCAAGUCGAACGGAAAGGCCCUGCUUUUGUGGGGUGCUCGAGUGGCGAACGGGUGAGUAACACGUGAGUAACCUGCCCUUGACUUUGUGAUAACUUCAGGAAACUGGGGCUAAUACCGGAUAGGAGCUCCUGCUGCAUGGUGGGGGUUGGAAAGUUUCGGCGGUUGGGGAUGGACUCGCGGCUUAUCAGCUUGUUGGUGGGGUAGUGGCUUACCAAGGCUUUGACGGGUAGCCGGCCUGAGAGGGUGACCGGCCACAUUGGGACUGAGAUACGGCCCAGACUCCUACGGGAGGCAGCAGUGGGGAAUAUUGCACAAUGGGCGGAAGCCUGAUGCAGCAACGCCGCGUGCGGGAUGACGGCCUUCGGGUUGUAAACCGCUUUAGCCUGUGACGAAGCGUGAGUGACGGUAACGGGUAAAGAAGCACCGGCUAACUACGUG